GUAGCGGGAGGCCCGGGGGGCUAGCCCUCCCCUGCCCCGACCAUGCUGGGUCGGGGUCCGCAAAUGGGCUAAUGGCGGGGGCCGCAACUCCCGAGGAAGGUAGUCCGAAGCGUGCAGGGUCCACCUUCCUGCCUAUGACUCUCCGUCCCAUGGGGUCACCGUAGGCCGAUAGGCCUUCCGGAAGGAAGGCCGAAUCGGCCUCACCGGCCGAACCGGGUUAGGCCCGGAAGGGAGCGGCCCUAAGGCCGGGCGGUGGCGUUCAUGGGGGCACGGAGAGGAGGUCAGGAAGGUGGUAGCCCUGCACGUGUAGGCUACCGACCUCGGGGGGUUGCCGCUAC
RNAcentral lists this signal recognition particle RNA (338 nucleotides) under Thermoprotei archaeon. Its description in RNAcentral is "signal recognition particle sRNA". It matches the Rfam family "Archaeal signal recognition particle RNA". The record is from RNAcentral. Lineage: Archaea; Thermoproteati; Thermoproteota; Thermoprotei.